AGCGAACGCUGGCGGCAGGCUUAACACAUGCAAGUCGUGCGCCCCGCAAGGGGAGCGGCAGACGGGAGAGUAACACGUGGAACAUACCUUUUGGUUCGGGACAACUGAGGGAAACUUCAGCUAAUACCGGAUAAGCCCUGACGGGGAAAGAUUUAUCGCCGAAAGAUUGGCCCGCGUCUGAUUAGCUAGUUGGUGAGGUAACGGCUCACCAAGGCGACGAUCAGUAGCUGGUCUGAGAGGAUGAUCAGCCUCACUGGGACUGAGACACGGCCCAGACUCCUACGGGAGGCAGCAGUGGGGAAUAUUGGACAAUGGGCGCAAGCCUGAUCCAGCCAUGCCGCGUGAGUGAUGAAGGCCUUAGGGUUGUAAAGCUCUUUUGCCCGGGAAGAUAAUGACGGUACCGGGAGAAUAAGCCCCGGCUAACUUCGUACCAGCAGCCGCAGUAA
This 446-nucleotide ribosomal RNA is filed under the name uncultured bacterium. RNAcentral describes it as "partial 16S ribosomal RNA". It matches the Rfam family "Bacterial small subunit ribosomal RNA", at positions 29 to 523 of the family's 1533-position model. The record is from RNAcentral.